This 370-nucleotide long non-coding RNA is filed under the name Elaeis guineensis (African oil palm). RNAcentral describes it as "long non-coding RNA (EGUI_LNC000530)". Lineage: Eukaryota; Viridiplantae; Streptophyta; Magnoliopsida; Arecales; Arecaceae. The record is from RNAcentral.
GAGAAUAGAACACAUUGAGAACUUCAGAAAAGAUGACCAUACAUUAGGGAGAGAAUGUAGAUAAUUUUCGCAGACUGUAGUCACCCCCUUACAGACCAAGACAGUAAAAAACCAAAAAUUUUCAAUGCUAAAUAGGAUGAAAAACAAGCGGAUUACAUUGGCAAAAAUAGCAGACAUAAACUGAGGACACGACUAGGAGGGACUCAAAAAGGUCCUCAUUAAAGACUUUUGAGAAAGGAUCAUCCUUUGACUAUGUUCGGAUAAGUCAAUCGACCUCCGACUCAAGUCAACCAACCUUCGACAUCCGACUCAAUAAAGAUCGACCGAUCGAACAUACAACUCCGACUAUAUAUCGACUGACACUGACUCA